GUGGCCCAACCAUCACCAAAAGAAGGGUAAAAGCCCCCAAACCUUUAAAUAAUCUUCUUCCCAUCCAUUUUAGCCAAUAAAGAAUUGAUUGCAGCCAGUUAUCAUCAAAUUUUCCUUUAAAGACAAAGUCCCUAAUUUUUCCCUCAUUUUUCUGCCAAUUUUCUUAUUUUUUUGGUGUCAUUCACCACCGCGAACCACC
Molecule: long non-coding RNA, 199 nt
Filed under: Elaeis guineensis (African oil palm)
Lineage: Eukaryota; Viridiplantae; Streptophyta; Magnoliopsida; Arecales; Arecaceae
Description: long non-coding RNA (EGUI_LNC033651)
Source: RNAcentral